ACAGGUGGUGCAUGGUUGUCGUCAGCUCGUGUCGUGAGAUGUUGGGUUAAGUCCCGCAACGAGCGCAACCCUUGUGUUUAGUUUGCAAACAAGGUCAAGCUGUGCACUCUAGACAGACUGCCGUGGACAACACGGAGGAAGGUGGGGGAUGACGUCAAAUCAUCAUGCCCCUUAUGAUCUGGGCUACACACGUGCUACAAUGGCCGGUACAACGGGCAGCGAAGGAGCGAUCCGGAGCGAAUCCUAAAAAGCCGGUCCCAGUUCGGAUUGCAGGCUGAAACUCGCCUACAUGAAGUUGGAGUUGCUAGUAAUCGCGAAUCAGAAUGUCGCGGUGAAUGCGUUCCCGGGUCUU
This 352-nucleotide ribosomal RNA is filed under the name uncultured Fusibacter sp. Its description in RNAcentral is "bacterial SSU rRNA". It matches the Rfam family "Bacterial small subunit ribosomal RNA", at positions 1034 to 1382 of the family's 1533-position model. Lineage: Bacteria; Bacillati; Bacillota; Clostridia; Eubacteriales; Fusibacteraceae. The record is from RNAcentral.